Molecule: transfer RNA, 76 nt
Filed under: Corynebacterium diphtheriae
Lineage: Bacteria; Bacillati; Actinomycetota; Actinomycetes; Mycobacteriales; Corynebacteriaceae
Also listed under: 29 other names
Description: tRNA-Glu
Rfam family: tRNA
About the family: Transfer RNA (tRNA) molecules are approximately 80 nucleotides in length. Their secondary structure includes four short double-helical elements and three loops (D, anti-codon, and T loops).
Source: RNAcentral
GCCCCGUUCGUCUAGCGGCCUAGGACGUCGGCCUCUCACGCCGGUAACACGGGUUCAAAUCCCGUACGGGGUACAA